CCUACGGGGGGCUGCAGUGGGGAAUAUUGGACAAUGGGGGGAACCCUGAUCCAGCCAUGCCGCGUGUGUGAAGAAGGCCCUCGGGUUGUAAAGCACUUUCAGUGAGGAAGAACGCCUGGUGGUUAAUACCCAUCAGGAAAGACAUCACUCACAGAAGAAGCACCGGCUAACUCCGUGCCAGCAGCCGCGGUAAUACGGAGGGUGCGAGCGUUAAUCGGAAUUACUGGGCGUAAAGCGCGCGUAGGUGGCUUGAUAAGCCGGUUGUGAAAGCCCCGGGCUCAACCUGGGAACGGCAUCCGGAACUGUCAAGCUAGAGUGCAGGCGAGGAAGGUAGAAUUCCCGGUGUAGCGGUGAAAUGCGUAGAGAUCGGGAGGAAUACCAGUGGCGAAGGCGGCCUUCUGGACUGACACUGACACUGAGGUGCGAAAGCGUGGGUAGCAAACAGGAUUAGAUACCCUGGUAGUC
This 465-nucleotide ribosomal RNA is filed under the name Vreelandella stevensii. Its description in RNAcentral is "partial 16S ribosomal RNA". It matches the Rfam family "Bacterial small subunit ribosomal RNA", at positions 338 to 795 of the family's 1533-position model. The record is from RNAcentral. Lineage: Bacteria; Pseudomonadati; Pseudomonadota; Gammaproteobacteria; Oceanospirillales; Halomonadaceae.